Amborella trichopoda is the source of this 3160-nucleotide long non-coding RNA. RefSeq lists it as uncharacterized. Lineage: Eukaryota; Viridiplantae; Streptophyta; Magnoliopsida; Amborellales; Amborellaceae. The record is from RefSeq and is a predicted model, not a curated record.
CUCUCUCUCUCUCUCUCUCUCUCUCUCUCUCUCUCUCUCCAUUAAAAUCCUGCACGAUCAAGGCAAUGCUCACGACGGAGCUCUUUCUGUGGAGUUAGGGCUUAAAAGACGUGCAGUUUAAGACUUCAUUCAGUCGGCCCUGACACGAACACCAUCAGAAAAGUACAACCAUCACUCUCAUCCCUACCACCACCACCAGCAUUGCAUUGAUACCACAGCCAUUGUCACACUAUACCAUCACUAUAUAUCAUCACUACUCUUACCACCAAAUGCAAUAUAAUAACAUGUAGUUCAACUAUACUAAAAUAUAUAUAUUCAUGAUAUUAAAUUUUUUUUUUUAAUUUUAAAAUUUUUCCAGAUUGCCAAUUUGGACCGUAUUGGUAAUUUAGCAAUCUGACAUUGAUUUAUAGGGUGGGCAAUCCACCUCACGUACCUAGAUUUUGAAACAAGUUCAAAUUAAGAUAAUCAAACUACCAUAUAGAGCAAAUGAUAAUUCAUCAGAUUGCCAUUUUGUCCAUUAUGAAGUGAAAAAGGCACCAUUUAUUAGAAUUUUGCACUCAAUUUAAAUCUUUUAGCUGGAGCCCCUUCAUGGCACAAGAUCACCUAAUGCAUCAAAGCAUUGUUAGGAAGAUGACCAAAACUAGUAGAAUGGGGGCUCUUAUUAGAAAUCUUAAAAUGUAUGGGUUUUGGUUUUAAAUGGAGAAGUUGGAUGUUUGGGUGUUUUUCCUCUGCCCUCUUCCAAGGUAGUUUGGCUGGUUUUUUUCAAGCUACUUGGGGUCUUCGCCAAGGGGAUCCCAUAUCACCCUUCUUAUUUACCAUUUUUGCAAAGUGUUUUAGUUUGAUGUUGUGUAAUGUGGAGAUGAAGGGUCAGUUCUCAGGAUUUGAGAUUGUGAAUUCGGGAUUGAUAAUCUCCCAUCCACAAUAUGUAGACGAUACUCUUAUUUUUUGUGAUGCGGAUCCUAGGCAGAUUAAAAACAUUGCAAGAUUUUUAGAAAUUCAUGAAGUCACAAUUGGUUUUAAAGUGAAUUUGCAUAAAUCAUUUCUAUUGGGUCUUAAUUAUUGUGAGGCUGUAAUUGAAACUCUUGCCAAGGUUAUGGGGUAUAAUGUGCGUUCUUUUCCCCUUCUUUAUCUUGGCUUACCCAUUUUAGAUUCACGUUUUCCUAUAUCAGUUUGGGAUAGGGUUGUGGAGAGUACAAUGUAAGCUUGAUCUUUGGAAAUCAAAGUACCUUUCUUUUGGUGGUAGGGUCACGCUUCUGAGCACGUGCUUGGCCAACCUUUUAAUUUAUCAGAUGUCAUUGAUCAAUAUGCUAGCUUUGAUUGCUAGAAGGAUUGAAAAGAUGGUGAGAGAUUUCCUUUGGGGCUUUGAUGGCCCUUAUCGCAGAUUCCAUUUACGGUGGUGGGAUAGGGUGCACCCCAAAGAAGAAAGGUGGUUUAGGUAUCAAAAAUAUAAAUUGGUUAAUCAAUCUCGUAAAUGGUGGUGGAGGGUAUUAAGUCCUCCUUGUUAAGUAUGGUAUGGGUAGAUCGGACAUUUGGAUUGGCUGAGGUACUGGAAGGGAGAUUUCUCAGAUGUGAAGGCAUAUUGUGCAUGUUUGGCCCACGGUUGCAGGCUAUUUUAGAUGGUCAAUUGGGAAUGGGAAUGAUGUUUCCUUUUGGCAUCAUAGGUGGGUGGGUGAUUAUAUACUCAAAGUCUUUCUUCCCAGAUUUAUUUGCUAUUGCCUUUGAUCGCAAUGCUAAGGUAUCUCAUAUGGUUGAGAGAAGAGGAGUAUCUUUAGCAUGGAAUCUCCCCUUGAGGUAUUACCUGGGUGAAUAAUAAUCUAUUUUCACAGUGGUGUGCGCUGAUGGCAGUACUUGAUAAAGCCUAUAUUGCAUCCGAUGCAAAAGAUGAAAUGGUUUGGGCAAUUGAAAAUGACGGUGUCUUUAACUGUUAAGUCAUGCUACAACCUUAUUUUUCAUGAUCGAUGGAGGUGGUCUUACCCCCAAAUUGCCACUAUUUGGAAGUGGCCCAUACCCCGUAAAGUGCAAGUUUUUAUCUGGUUGGCUGCACUUAAUAAAAUCCUAACUAUCGACAAUCUGAUUAAAAAAGGUAAAGUUUUACCAAAUGUUUACUAAUUUUGUAAGGCUGACGGUGACUCUAUUGCGCAUCUGUUUUUACAUCGCUCGGUUACACGCCAAAUUUGGUAUUGGUUGCUUGGAUUGGUCAAUACCAAUUUGGCCCUACCACUUGCAGUUGAUGGGAUUGUUACACAAUUGUCUUUAUUACGAUGGUAAGGCUUUGUGGUGUAUAGCAAAAGGGGUGAUCCUAUGGGAGAUAUGGAAAGAAAGAAAUAUGCGGACUUUUGAAGGUAUUUCCCUUUCCUUAGAUUGUUUGAUCCAUUCAAUCAAGUUGUCUAUAUGGUCGUGGAUAUCUGUUUCUAAAGAAGGUUGGCGAACAUCCAGGAUCGAUGGUUUGGCUAAUUUGGGCAAUCUCUUUCGUCUUGGUACCUUUAGCAGUCGAUCAAAAUUAAGUUGGGUUGCCCUCCCAUUGGGUACUUUAAAACUUAAUUUUGAUGAUAGUUCCCUUGGGAAUCCUGGAAGGGCGGCAGUUGGUAGAAUGGUAAGGAUUCUUGUGGCAAUACUCUUUUUUGGAAGGGCUGCAGUUGGUAGAAUGGUAAGGAUUCUUGUGGCAAUACUCUUUUUUCCUUUGCAAGGCCAAUUGGAUGUGCAACUGCAAACCACUGCAAACCAUGUUGAAAUGUAGGCUCUUUAUCAUGGUUUGAAGACUUUUAGGGAAAGAAACUGUGGGGAUAUGUGUUGGAUUGAAGGGGAUUCACUUAAUGUCAUUAAGUGGUGCAAGAAGGAGCAACGGGUUCUUUGGUAUCUUCGUUUACUUUGGUUAUGUAUUAUGGACUUGUCUGUUCCCAUCUCGGUUAUCUUUUCACAUCUCUAUCGAGAGGCUAAUUCGAUUGCUGACGAGCUGGCUAAAAGGGGUGCUCUUUUACUUUCUUUUUUAAUAUCUGAUAAUGUAAUUUCCUAUUCAUAGUGCUAAUAUAAGUAGUAACAUUUGUCAAAAAAAAAUAAAUAUCUCAUGUAUUAUUUUUUAUAGGAAUUGUCAUAAAAUGUACAAAAGGGGAUGAACAAUUAAACAUGAAUAAACUUAGGAAACAAUGACUAUUAUUUCUUG